AACAUCGCGCACCUGCGGGAACCUGCGGAGGGAUCAUUAUUGAAUUUGGUCAGGCUGUUGCUGAUCCUUAGGGAUAUGUGCACGCUUGCUUCCAACUUUCUACCACCUGUGCACCUUUUGUAGAUGCUGGACACAUUGUCGAGUGCGUUUACGCACAUCGGUAUUUAGGAUUCUGCUGUGGCUUUUUAGCUUUAGCUAUCCUUGCAUGUCUGGCUCUACGUUUUUUCAUAUACGCAUGUC
RNAcentral lists this unclassified non-coding RNA (240 nucleotides) under soil metagenome. RNAcentral's name for it is "partial contains 5.8S ribosomal RNA, internal transcribed spacer 2, and large subunit ribosomal RNA". The record is from RNAcentral.